This 332-nucleotide unclassified non-coding RNA is filed under the name soil metagenome. Its description in RNAcentral is "partial contains 5.8S ribosomal RNA, internal transcribed spacer 2, and large subunit ribosomal RNA". The stretch from base 1 to 120 matches the Rfam family "5.8S ribosomal RNA", at positions 35 to 154 of the family's 154-position model. The record is from RNAcentral.
GAUGAAGAACGUAGCGAAAUGCGAUAAGUAAUGUGAAUUGCAGAAUUCAGUGAAUCAUCGAAUCUUUGAACGCACAUUGCGCCCGCCAGUAUUCUGGCGGGCAUGCCUGUCCGAGCGUCAUUUCAACCAUCAAGCCCCGGGCUUGUGUUGGGGACCUGCGUCCGACGCAGGCCCUGAAAACCAGUGGCGGGCUCGCUGUCCACACCGAGCGUAGUAACUAACCUCGCUAUGGAGUGGCGCGGGCGCCUGCCGUAAAACCCCCAAUUUCACAAGGUUGACCUCGGAUCAGGUAGGGAUACCCGCUGAACUUAAGCAUAUCAAUAAGCGGAGGA